CCUACGGGUGGCAGCAGUGAGGAAUAUUGGUCAAUGGGCGUAAGCCUGAACCAGCCAAGUCGCGUGAGGGAUGAAGGUUCUAUGGAUCGUAAACCUCUUUUAUAAGGGAAUAAAGUGUGGGACGUGUCCUAUUUUGUAUGUACCUUAUGAAUAAGGAUCGGCUAACCCCGUGCCAGCAGCCGCGGUACUACGGAGGAUCCGAGCGUUAACCGGAUUUAUUGGGUUUAACGGGUGCGUAGGCGGCCUUUUAAGUCAGCGGUGAAAGUCUGUGGCUCAACAAUAGAAUUGCCGUGGAGACUGGGGGGCUUGAGUUUGUUUGAGGCAGGCGGAAGGCGAGGUGUAGCGGUGAAAUGCGUAGAUA
This 361-nucleotide ribosomal RNA is filed under the name uncultured bacterium. RNAcentral describes it as "partial 16S ribosomal RNA". It matches the Rfam family "Bacterial small subunit ribosomal RNA", at positions 338 to 696 of the family's 1533-position model. The record is from RNAcentral.